AACUCCUUUGAGGCUACGGGUCCCAAUUGGCAAAGGGGGUCAUCUCCCUUAUAAGGGCACAACAACGAAACAUGGAACAUUGGAUGAAUGUGUGAGGGUUUUGGCAAGGGCACAACAACGAAACAUGGAACAUUGGAUGAAUGUGUGAGGGUUUUGGCAAGAGCAGUUCAUAAGCCACCAAGUCAAUGUGGCGGUGAACCUGGAAGGGGCCUUAAUACCUCUUGGCUAGCUUCUGGGAUGUGCAACGCUGCAACGAUGUUUGUUGGAGGAGUUGAAUGGUCGUGGAAGAAUGGCCGUACAACACAUCAAUGGGGUUAAGAGGCGCACAUCCAUAUAGAGCUUGAAAGGGUGUGGUGCCAAUACUGUGUGGAAGGAGGUGUUGUGCCAGUACUCUGUUAGAUGGAGAUAUUGAUACCAUGCGCAAGGGUGAUCAUUGACAAAGCAACGGAGGUAACUCAUUUGAUCUGUGAUUAUUUGAAAGUAUUGUCUGACCAAAUAUUGACACCACUUUUUUUAUUGCCUUCGUGACAACAAACAUUUCUCGAACAUAUAUUGACGUGACCUGAAACUUAGGAUAAAGGCAAUUAUUGAAGAAGACAAGAGGAUGACAAUGCUGGGACAAAACUACACCUAUUACUCCACCAUAAGCGUCUGUCUCAAUGACAAAUGGAGAGCUGAAGUCUAGUAGAGCAAGAACAGGAACGAAUGUAAUUUUUUCUUUUAACUCUAUAAAUGCUUGUUGGGCCUGUAAACUCCAUUGAAAAGUAGUAGAAUGCAACAAAUUGGUGAAA
Cajanus cajan (pigeon pea) is the source of this 791-nucleotide long non-coding RNA. RefSeq lists it as uncharacterized. The record is from RefSeq and is a predicted model, not a curated record. NCBI's taxonomy places the organism in Eukaryota, Viridiplantae, Streptophyta, Magnoliopsida, Fabales, Fabaceae.